Molecule: non-coding RNA, 21 nt
Organism: Caenorhabditis elegans
Lineage: Eukaryota; Metazoa; Nematoda; Chromadorea; Rhabditida; Rhabditidae
Source: Ensembl
ACUUGUCAUUUUAUCGAAGAA